UCUUACAUGUGUUUGAUGUCUCUUUGGUGAGGAGUUCCGAAGGUAAGAUCAAUUACUGAUUUUUCUAGAUUUAUUUUGCUCCAUUUAAAUAAACUGAGAUUAUAAAUUGAAGUAAUUAGAAGGUAGUUGCUCUUGCUUAUGUCUAAUGUUGAAACGAGAUAAUAACAAGACUGUGAGAGGAGGAUUAGUAAGAGGUUAUCUGCUGGGGCUUGCUACUUGCCAAUGAGAAGAAAAAUCUAAGUCAUAUUCUUUUGUUACUGUCGUUUGUUUUUGUCCUAUGGUUUGUAUGCCUCGAGUGUGGAAUGAUUUUAUCUUUCCAAGGAGAUGGAUUUGCUAUGUAUUCUUUGCAACACAGGGAGUCUAAGAUUAGUUCAAGGACCCUUGUUUCUUCUGAGUAGUAAGAUCUUCCUCGCAAUUGAUUUGGCUUUGGACUGCAAAGAUACAGAGACAGAUCUUUGGAAUAUAAUAUGUAGGGAUGAGUACAUGGCAUAUGAUGUAUCUUUUUGGUUGCUUGUAUAUGAUUGUUUUUAAGUAUAGUGACAUCCACUCUGUUUCUCUUUCUUUUUGGUUUCUUUGAUUGCAUUGUUUCAUCCAUUUUGUUUUUCUCUUCCACCUUGCUACAGAAACAAUUACUGUUAUGGCAUAUUUUUUUCUCGUAUGAUGUAUCAUACUCUUUGGUUUACUUAAUUAACGAACUCGAUUUCUUGAAUUGCACCUAUACUCUUGCUCACCUAAUGAUGGUUUUUUGCAGACAAAACCAAUUGACUUGUCUGAUUAAAAGAGCUCUGUGUGCGAUGUAGAGUCAGUCUCAUAUCCCAUGCUAGAUUUUUUAGUCUCUCUCUCUCUCUCUCUCUCUCUCUUUGUUAUGCUCUUUUGUCUUUGCAACAAUGGCAUAUUAGAACCAUAAAGAUGGUAUCUAAAGGGAUUUCCUUUUUCUGCCAAUCUGUCUAAACAGUUUCAUUAAAUGGUUUUUGUAUUUGUGGUCAUCUGAAAAAAAAAAAAAAUGUUGGUAACGUUUGGAUUUAGCAUGACAGAUGCUAAUCAGUGUGAAGGUGCCAGUGCAAGGGAAGGGGGCUGAGGAAAUAGUCUCAAGAAGUAUCUAGGAAGUAUUAUGUAAUAGAGCAAAGAUUGGUUGACUAUGUAAUAACUAUUGAAUUUUCAAGUUUUAUGAAAGAAAUAAUUUUUGAGCA
This is a non-coding RNA of Prunus avium (sweet cherry), 1190 nucleotides long. Lineage: Eukaryota; Viridiplantae; Streptophyta; Magnoliopsida; Rosales; Rosaceae. The record is from RefSeq and is a predicted model, not a curated record.